AGAGUUUGAUCAUGGCUCAGGACGAACGCUGGCGGCGUGCUUAACACAUGCAAGUCGAACGGAAAGGCCCCUUCGGGGGUACUCGAGUGGCGAACGGGUGAGUAACACGUGGGUGAUCUGCCCUGCACUUUGGGAUAAGCCUGGGAAACUGGGUCUAAUACCGAAUAGGACCGCAUGCUUCAUGGUGUGUGGUGGAAAGCUUUUGCGGUGUGGGAUGGGCCCGCGGCCUAUCAGCUUGUUGGUGGGGUAAUGGCCUACCAAGGCGACGACGGGUAGCCGGCCUGAGAGGGUGUCCGGCCACACUGGGACUGAGAUACGGCCCAGACUCCUACGGGAGGCAGCAGUGGGGAAUAUUGCACAAUGGGCGCAAGCCUGAUGCAGCGACGCCGCGUGGGGGAUGACGGCCUUCGGGUUGUAAACCUCUUUCAGUAUCGGCGAAGCUCCAGGAUUUUUCUUGGGGUGACGGUAGGUACAGAAGAAGCACCGGCCAACUACGUGCCAGCAGCCGCGGUAAUACGUAGGGUGCGAGCGUUGUCCGGAAUUACUGGGCGUAAAGAGCUCGUAGGUGGUUUGUCACGUUGUCUGUGAAAACUCACAGCUUAACUGUGGGCGUGCGGGCGAUACGGGCAGACUGGAGUACUGUAGGGGAGACUGGAAUUCCUGGUGUAGCGGUGGAAUGCGCAGAUAUCAGGAGGAACACCGGUGGCGAAGGCGGGUCUCUGGGCAGUAACUGACGCUGAGGAGCGAAAGCGUGGGGAGCGAACAGGAUUAGAUACCCUGGUAGUCCAA
This 789-nucleotide ribosomal RNA is filed under the name uncultured bacterium. RNAcentral describes it as "bacterial SSU rRNA". It matches the Rfam family "Bacterial small subunit ribosomal RNA", at positions 8 to 798 of the family's 1533-position model. The record is from RNAcentral.